RNAcentral lists this unclassified non-coding RNA (208 nucleotides) under Hevea brasiliensis (rubber tree). The record is from RNAcentral. Lineage: Eukaryota; Viridiplantae; Streptophyta; Magnoliopsida; Malpighiales; Euphorbiaceae.
AAACAAGUGCAGUUGUAAAAUUUUUUAAUCAUUCAACAAGGGAUGUACCUCUUGCGCAUGGUAUUUAUGAUCAUAGUAUUGUGCUGUGAUGGCAAUCAUUUGUUUCUCUGAUCUUGCAAUCCAAGUUUUCCUGCUCAUACCAUUAUGAUUCUCCACCUAAUCAUCUGUCAUCAUUUUGUUGCUUAAUGCCAAAAGCAAAUUAGUCAGU